This 495-nucleotide ribosomal RNA is filed under the name uncultured bacterium. RNAcentral's name for it is "partial 16S ribosomal RNA". It matches the Rfam family "Bacterial small subunit ribosomal RNA", at positions 28 to 505 of the family's 1533-position model. The record is from RNAcentral.
GAUGAGCGCUGGCGGCGUGCCUAAUACAUGCAAGUCGAGCGAACGGACGAGAAGCUUGCUUCUCUGAUGUUAGCGGCGGACGGGUGAGUAACACGUGGAUAACCUACCUAUAAGACUGGGAUAACUUCGGGAAACCGGAGCUAAUACCGGAUAAUAUUUUGAACCGCAUGGUUCAAAAGUGAAAGACGGUCUUGCUGUCACUUAUAGAUGGAUCCGCGCUGCAUUAGCUAGUUGGUAAGGUAACGGCUUACCAAGGCAACGAUGCAUAGCCGACCUGAGAGGGUGAUCGGCCACACUGGAACUGAGACACGGUCCAGACUCCUACGGGAGGCAGCAGUAGGGAAUCUUCCGCAAUGGGCGAAAGCCUGACGGAGCAACGCCGCGUGAGUGAUGAAGGUCUUCGGAUCGUAAAACUCUGUUAUUAGGGAAGAACAUAUGUGUAAGUAACUGUGCACAUCUUGACGGUACCUAAUCAGAAAGCCACGGCUAACUACG